AGUACGGGCGAGUGAAGUGGGAAAAGCUCAACUUUGAAAUCUGGUACUUUCAGUAUCCGAAUUGUAGUCUCAAGAAGUGUUUUCUGUGCCGGUCCAUGUAUGAGUCUGUUGGAACACAGCGUCAUAGAGGGUGACAACCCCGUUCAUGACAUGGAUCCCGGUGCUUUGUGAUACACUCUCGAAGAGUCGAGUUGUUUGGGAAUGCAGCUCAAAUUGGGUGGUAAAUUCCAUCUAAAGCUAAAUAUUGGCGAGAGACCGAUAGCAAACAAGUACCGUGAGGGAAAGAUGAAAAGCACUUUGGAAAGAGAGUUAACAGUACGUGAAAUUGUUGAAAGGGAAACGAUUGAAGUCAGACGUGCGUGAUGCGGUUCAGCUUUAGUUCGCUAGAGUGUACUCCGUAUCUUUGCAGGCCAACAUCGGUUUUGUUAGUCGGAUAAAGGUUUGAGAAAUGUGGCACCUUCGGGUGUGUUAUAGUCUCAGACUGAAUACGAUUGAUGGGACCGAGGAACGCAGCGCGCCGCAGGGCAAAGGUUCCGACCUUUUCGCGCUUAGGAUGUUGGUGAAAUGGCUUUAAACGACCCGUCUAAA
RNAcentral lists this ribosomal RNA (588 nucleotides) under Basidiomycota sp. 3 HFP-2013. Its description in RNAcentral is "eukaryotic LSU rRNA". It matches the Rfam family "Eukaryotic large subunit ribosomal RNA", at positions 82 to 657 of the family's 3401-position model. Lineage: Eukaryota; Fungi; Basidiomycota. The record is from RNAcentral.